Molecule: small RNA, 17 nt
Filed under: Arabidopsis thaliana (thale cress)
Lineage: Eukaryota; Viridiplantae; Streptophyta; Magnoliopsida; Brassicales; Brassicaceae
Description: ATSL113850
Source: RNAcentral
AAAAACCAAAAAACAAA